RNAcentral lists this ribosomal RNA (254 nucleotides) under uncultured bacterium. RNAcentral's name for it is "partial 16S ribosomal RNA". It matches the Rfam family "Bacterial small subunit ribosomal RNA", at positions 524 to 776 of the family's 1533-position model. The record is from RNAcentral.
UACGGAGGGUGCGAGCGUUGUCCGGAAUCACUGGGCGUAAAGGGCGCGUAGGCGGUCAGCACAAGUCAGUUGUGAAAUCUCCGAGCUUAACUCGGAACGGUCAACUGAUACUGUGCGACUAGAGUGCGGAAGGGGCAACUGGAAUUCUCGGUGUAGCGGUGAAAUGCGUAGAUAUCGAGAGGAACACCUGCGGCGAAGGCGGGUUGCUGGGCCGACACUGACGCUGAUGCGCGAAAGCCAGGGGAGCGAACGGG